GAUGAAGAACGUAGCGAAAUGCGAUAAGUAAUGUGAAUUGCAGAAUUCAGUGAAUCAUUGAAUCUUUGAACGCACAUUGCGCCCCUUGGUAUUCCGAGGGGCAUGCCUGUUCGAGCGUCAUUAUAACCCCUCAAGCUCAGCUUGGUGUUGGGGCCUGCUGCACUGGCAGCCCUUAAAAUCAGUGGCGGCGCCAUCUGGCUCUAAGCGUAGUAAUUCUUCUCGCUAUGGAGUCCUGGUGGAUGCUUGCCAUCAACCCCCAAUUUUUCUAUGGUUGACCUCGGAUCAGGUAGGGAUACCCGCUGAACUUAAGCAUAUCAAUAAGCGGAGGA
RNAcentral lists this unclassified non-coding RNA (329 nucleotides) under soil metagenome. RNAcentral describes it as "partial contains 5.8S ribosomal RNA, internal transcribed spacer 2, and large subunit ribosomal RNA". The stretch from base 1 to 120 matches the Rfam family "5.8S ribosomal RNA", at positions 35 to 154 of the family's 154-position model. The record is from RNAcentral.